This 1932-nucleotide ribosomal RNA is filed under the name Proteus mirabilis. Its description in RNAcentral is "partial 23S ribosomal RNA". It matches the Rfam family "Bacterial large subunit ribosomal RNA", at positions 1132 to 2925 of the family's 2925-position model. Lineage: Bacteria; Pseudomonadati; Pseudomonadota; Gammaproteobacteria; Enterobacterales; Morganellaceae. The record is from RNAcentral.
GCGUAAUAGCUCACUGGUCGAGUCGGCCCGCGCGGAAGAUGUAACGGGGCUAAACCAUGCACCGAAGCUGCGGCAGCGAACGUAUCACUUAAAUUUGUUUAAGUGAGAAACGAUUGACGGAACGAAGAGACGUCAAUGCGUCCAUAAAAGUCGAGGCGAAAGUCCGAUAAGCGAAUUUAAGGAUACGUUCGUUGGGUAGGGGAGCGUUCUGUAAGCCUGCGAAGGUGUGCUGUGAGGCAUGCUGGAGGUAUCAGAAGUGCGAAUGCUGACAUAAGUAACGAUAAUGCGGGUGAAAAACCCGCACGCCGGAAGACCAAGGGUUCCUGUCCAACGUUAAUCGGGGCAGGGUGAGUCGACCCCUAAGGCGAGGCUGAAAAGCGUAGUCGAUGGGAAACGGGUUAAUAUUCCCGUACUGGUGGUAACUGCGAUGGGGGAACGGAGAAGGCUAGGUUGUCCGGGCGACGGUCGUCCCGGUUCAAGCAUGUAGGCAGAGUGAUUAGGCAAAUCCGGUCACUUAAUGCUGAGGUGUGAUGACGAGCCACUAAGGUGGUGAAGCAAUUGAUGCCCUGCUUCCAGGAAAAGCCUCUAAGCUUCAGGUUACCAACAAUCGUACCCCAAACCGACACAGGUGGUCAGGUAGAGAAUACUCAGGCGCUUGAGAGAACUCGGGUGAAGGAACUAGGCAAAAUGGUGCCGUAACUUCGGGAGAAGGCACGCUGGCGGUAAGUGAAGUCCCUUGCGGACGGAGCCGAAGCCAGUCGAAGAUACCAGCUGGCUGCAACUGUUUAUUAAAAACACAGCACUGUGCAAACACGAAAGUGGACGUAUACGGUGUGACGCCUGCCCGGUGCUGGAAGGUUAAUUGAUGGGGUUAUCCUUAGGGAGAAGCUCUUGAUCGAAGCCCCAGUAAACGGCGGCCGUAACUAUAACGGUCCUAAGGUAGCGAAAUUCCUUGUCGGGUAAGUUCCGACCUGCACGAAUGGCGUAAUGAUGGCCAGGCUGUCUCCACCCGAGACUCAGUGAAAUUGAACUCGCUGUGAAGAUGCAGUGUACCCGCGGCAAGACGGAAAGACCCCGUGAACCUUUACUAUAGCUUGACACUGAACAUUGAGCCUUGAUGUGUAGGAUAGGUGGGAGACUAUGAAGUGUGGACGCCAGUCUGCAUGGAGUCAACCUUGAAAUACCACCCUUUAACGUUUGAUGUUCUAACCUAGGCCCGUAAUCCGGGUCGGGGACCGUGUCUGGUGGGUAGUUUGACUGGGGCGGUCUCCUCCUAAAGAGUAACGGAGGAGCACGAAGGUUGGCUAAGCAUGGUCGGACAUCAUGCGGUUAGUGCAAAGGCAUAAGCCAGCUUGACUGUGAGAGUGACGGCUCGAGCAGGUACGAAAGUAGGUCUUAGUGAUCCGGUGGUUCUGAAUGGAAGGGCCAUCGCUCAACGGAUAAAAGGUACUCCGGGGAUAACAGGCUGAUACCGCCCAAGAGUUCAUAUCGACGGCGGUGUUUGGCACCUCGAUGUCGGCUCAUCACAUCCUGGGGCUGAAGUAGGUCCCAAGGGUAUGGCUGUUCGCCAUUUAAAGUGGUACGCGAGCUGGGUUUAGAACGUCGUGAGACAGUUCGGUCCCUAUCUGCCGUGGGCGUUGGAAGAUUGAGAGGGGUUGCUCCUAGUACGAGAGGACCGGAGUGAACGCACCACUGGUGUUCGGGUUGUCAUGCCAAUGGCAUUGCCCGGUAGCUAAGUGCGGAAGAGAUAACCGCUGAAAGCAUCUAAGCGGGAAACUUGCCUCGAGAUGAGUCUUCCCUGUCACCUUGAGUGACCUAAAGGAACGUUUAAGACUAAGACGUUGAUAGGCUGGGUGUGUAAGCGUAGCGAUACGUUGAGCUAACCAGUACUAAUGAACCGUGAGGCUUAACCUGACAACACCGAAGGUGUUU